ACGGAAGGCAGCAGUGAGGAAUAUUGGUCAAUGGAGGCAACUCUGAACCAGCCAUCUCGCGUGAAGGAAUACGGCCCUACGGGUCUUAAACUUCUUUUAUAGGGGGAUAAAGUGAGGCAUGCAUGCCUUUUUGUAGGUACCCUAUGAAUAAGCAUCGGCUAACUCCGUGCCAGCAGCCGCGGUAAUACGGAGGAUGCGAGCGUUAUCCGGAUUUAUUGGGUUUAAAGGGUGCGCAGGCGGCACGUUAAGUCAGCGGUGAAAUGUCGGGGCUCAACCCGGGCACUGCCGUUGAAACUGGCGAGCUUGAGUACGGAUGAAGUCGGCGGAAUGUGAUGUGUAGCGGUGAAAUGCUUAGAUAUGUCACAGAACACCGAUUGCGAAGGCAGCUGACUAAGCCGCAACUGACGCUCAGGCACGAAAGCGUGGGGAUCGAACAGGAUUAGAUACCCUGGUA
Molecule: ribosomal RNA, 454 nt
Filed under: uncultured Porphyromonas sp.
Lineage: Bacteria; Pseudomonadati; Bacteroidota; Bacteroidia; Bacteroidales; Porphyromonadaceae
Description: partial 16S ribosomal RNA
Rfam family: Bacterial small subunit ribosomal RNA
Source: RNAcentral